Molecule: long non-coding RNA, 605 nt
Organism: Numida meleagris (helmeted guineafowl)
Lineage: Eukaryota; Metazoa; Chordata; Aves; Galliformes; Numididae
Source: Ensembl
CUCGUAGUAACUGUCUCCAUCGUGCAAUCAGCAUUUGCUCAUCAAACCUAAAAGGGAACUUUGAUAGCAAAUCCCACUUGAAAGAGAGCAUUUAUAGGGACAUCAUUUGCCAGAAGGACUCACUACUUCUUGCAGCAGCACAUCUUAGGAAAAAAGAAGAUAGCAUCUCAUUGAAAUGAGAACCUGAAUAGCACUCACAGUGAUGGAGGACAGUCUUCUAAAUUGCAGAACGAUUAAAUCCAGCUCUGAUGGUUGAUUUCUUGACCUCAGAGACAGCUAAUCCUCAGAUACAGAAAAUGGAGGCUUUUCCUUUUUUGACCGGAAGAAGGCUUUUUGGCUCUAGAGUCUGCCCAUCAGCAACAAAGGAGGAAGAAAAAUUCUCAGUGCUUUGGGAAUCUCUCAGCAUUACUCAUCCUCACGAGUGGGCCAAAAUUUAUGCAAGGAGCAACGAAGUUCUCAGAUGUGUUCUCCAGGAGCUUCAGACAGAUGCUGAAUCACUGCACAAAGGGGGAAACGAGCCGUUUCGAAGAAUCACAAGCCAACAAAUUCACCAGCAGAAACGGGAGAGAAGGGGCAUUGCAGAAUCAUUUCAAGAGGACCAGUAG